CUCGGGUCCCAUUUCGUUGGUUUGUUGCGGGCCAGAGUAAUGAUUAACAGGGACGGUCGGGGGCAUUUGUAUUGCCGGGCUAGAGGUGAAAUUCUUGGAUUCCGGCAAGACAAACUACUGCGAAAGCAUUUGCCAAGGACGUGCCCAUUGAUCAAGAACGAAAGUUAGGGGAGCAAAAACGAUUAGAUACCGUUGUAGUCUUAACCAUAAACUAUGCCGACUCAGGAUCGGCCCGCGUUCUACUUUUAGGAUGACCGGGCCGGCACUGUGUGAGAAAUCAAAGUUUUUGGGUUCUGGGGGGAGUAUGGUCGCAAGGCUGAAACUUAAAGGAAUUGACGGAAGGGCACCACCAGGAGUGGAGCCUGCGGCUUAAUUUGACUCAACACGGGGAAACUCACCAGGUCCAGA
This 408-nucleotide ribosomal RNA is filed under the name uncultured fungus. RNAcentral describes it as "SSU rRNA". It matches the Rfam family "Eukaryotic small subunit ribosomal RNA", at positions 828 to 1228 of the family's 1831-position model. Lineage: Eukaryota; Fungi. The record is from RNAcentral.